This 1195-nucleotide unclassified non-coding RNA is filed under the name Bombus terrestris (buff-tailed bumblebee). RNAcentral describes it as "misc RNA ENSBTSG00005026470.1". Lineage: Eukaryota; Metazoa; Arthropoda; Insecta; Hymenoptera; Apidae. The record is from RNAcentral.
AUCAUCUGUAUCGAGCCUAUCGGUUCCCGGUACUUCGUAAUGUCGAACUUGUUCUGUCGGGAUCGCCCUGUUGCCAAGUCGUCGCAUCACCGCCGUCCAUCAGAGAUCAGCUCCUUUACUCUCGCUCAAGCGACAUAUUGUGCUACGGAUACACUGGAAGGAAGUAACUGAGGGCUCUUUGCCUUUAGAAAUAAGAUCGUACACAGAGAGAGGUUCAUCGAGUUAUCUAUCGUGCCAGUGGAUCGUCCAUCUUCUCGGCGAGCACCUUAUUAUGCCCAUCCGAGUAGAGCAGUGUUCUUAUGGACGAGGACCGGGUCAGGAAGCAUUAGAAGCAAGCCAGCAUAGUCACGAACAGUCAAUGAUCCCGAACAACCGUAGUCGGGAUAAGGCUUGCAAAUGGAGGAAAAAGUGGGCAGCACGAUAACGCUGCUUCCCUUUUCCUCUUCUCUCAAACCAUCUCUUCUAACUUUUUUCUUGUUCUACCUCCUCUUCCUCCCUCUCUCUCCCUCGUCUCUCUCGCACGCGCGUUCUUUUCAGUUUCUGAAUGCCGGCGUGGUUGUGUCACAUUAGGGAACGUUUCCAUUUUCAUGCAAUCCACGUCGUCGACAGUGCCGUUAACGACCGACCGCGCAUCAACCUUACAUCCACGUAUACAAUCGUCCUAGCUGCUGGUUAAUCUGCGUUGGCAAACCGACAGUGUACGUAGUCUGACACGAUUCAACUUCUGAAGCUUUUUGGAUUUCAGGAGAAAAGGAGAACAGGGUUUUAGGAAAACUUGGUCUGAUUAUAUCGAAGAAAGGAUUCGUUGUAUGCUUCAAGGGAUCAAGUGCUUAGAAUCCCCGUAGUUCGUGAAGUGAAGGUUCUGUUGCAAUAGAUUGUGGUUCGUGAAGUGAAGCUUUUGUUGCAAUAGAUUAUGGUUCGUGAAAUGAGGAAUGGAUAAUUCUUUGUUUGCUUUUGUUGGAUUGCUUUUUUAAAUUCAUUGAUAUUUAUAGCCAUGUUUAAGAACAAUAAGGAUUUGUUUGCUUAUUUUUAGAAUGAAAGGAUUUGUUGUUACGGUCGGUGAAACCGAGGAUUCAGGAGGAAUUUUUGUGACACAUAGGAUUGAGAUUUUACAGUGGUAAAUUGCGAUUUUCAGAAACAAAAGAGGAUUCUUUAAAUUGGAAUUUUGUGUAUUUUGUUAGGCACUAAUCUACUA